This 253-nucleotide ribosomal RNA is filed under the name uncultured bacterium. RNAcentral describes it as "partial 16S ribosomal RNA". It matches the Rfam family "Bacterial small subunit ribosomal RNA", at positions 524 to 776 of the family's 1533-position model. The record is from RNAcentral.
UACGUAGGGGGCAAGCGUUAUCCGGAUUUACUGGGUGUAAAGGGAGCGUAGACGGCGAUGCAAGCCAGAUGUGAAAGCCCGGGGCUCAACCCCGGGACUGCCUUUGGAACUGUAUAGCUAGAGUGUCGGAGAGGCAGGCGGAAUUCCUAGUGUAGCGGUGAAAUGCGUAGAUAUUAGGAGGAACACCAGUGGCGAAGGCGGCCUGCUGGACGAUGACUGACGUUGAGGCUCGAAAGCGUGGGGAGCAAACAGG